Salvia miltiorrhiza (redroot sage) is the source of this 483-nucleotide long non-coding RNA. RefSeq lists it as uncharacterized. The record is from RefSeq and is a predicted model, not a curated record. The transcript is spliced from 3 exons. Lineage: Eukaryota; Viridiplantae; Streptophyta; Magnoliopsida; Lamiales; Lamiaceae.
CUUAUCGUGCCCGAUUUCUGACUCUCCUUCAACUCCGCUUCCGUUUCUGCUCUUGAAUUUCGCCAUGAAACUGAGCUCGUUAACCGCAACACAAAUCUGUUCCACGCUGGAAACCGUAUCGAUCAUCGCCGCGGCAACAGGACUGAGAAGAGCUCUGGAAAGUUGAAGCGUGAAGAAAUAAGAGCAGAAAACCACCAGUUGGACUGGGGAGGAGAUGAUGGGGGCAGUGUGCUAAAAUGCGCCAUUAUGAUUAACCAAUGAGAGGUAGGUGAUGGAAACAGGCCUUGAGUUUGGAUGGAAUUGCCUUGGUUGCCACUGGGGUAGGCGUAGGGGGUGGGGGUGUUUUUGUCUGCUUUUUGUGUGUUUUUUUUCAACUAAAUUCAGGGGGGAGGCAGUCAGAAUUUUGUAUCUGUAUUUUGGAACUGUUAUAAAGAAUCUUUGGAAUUUUUGUUCAGUCAAGACUCAAGAACUGUCUUCUCUAUA